RNAcentral lists this ribosomal RNA (2639 nucleotides) under Klebsiella pneumoniae. RNAcentral's name for it is "bacterial LSU rRNA". It matches the Rfam family "Bacterial large subunit ribosomal RNA". The record is from RNAcentral. Lineage: Bacteria; Pseudomonadati; Pseudomonadota; Gammaproteobacteria; Enterobacterales; Enterobacteriaceae.
ACUAUCGUUAACUGAAUACAUAGGUUAACGAGGCGAACCGGGGGAACUGAAACAUCUAAGUACCCCGAGGAAAAGAAAUCAACCGAGAUUCCCCCAGUAGCGGCGAGCGAACGGGGAGCAGCCCAGAGUCUGAAUCAGCUUGUGUGUUAGUGGAACGGUCUGGAAAGUCCGACGGUACAGGGUGAUAGUCCCGUACACCAAAAUGCACAGGCUGUGAACUCGAAGAGUAGGGCGGGACACGUGGUAUCCUGUCUGAAUAUGGGGGGACCAUCCUCCAAGGCUAAAUACUCCUGACUGACCGAUAGUGAACCAGUACCGUGAGGGAAAGGCGAAAAGAACCCCGGCGAGGGGAGUGAAAAAGAACCUGAAACCGUGUACGUACAAGCAGUGGGAGCACCUUCGGGUGUGACUGCGUACCUUUUGUAUAAUGGGUCAGCGACUUAUAUUCUGUAGCAAGGUUAACCGUAUAGGGGAGCCGCAGGGAAACCGAGUCUUAACUGGGCGUUAAGUUGCAGGGUAUAGACCCGAAACCCGGUGAUCUAGCCAUGGGCAGGUUGAAGGUUGGGUAACACUAACUGGAGGACCGAACCGACUAAUGUUGAAAAAUUAGCGGAUGACUUGUGGCUGGGGGUGAAAGGCCAAUCAAACCGGGAGAUAGCUGGUUCUCCCCGAAAGCUAUUUAGGUAGCGCCUCGUGAACUCAUCUUCGGGGGUAGAGCACUGUUUCGGCUAGGGGGUCAUCCCGACUUACCAACCCGAUGCAAACUACGAAUACCGAAGAAUGUUAUCACGGGAGACACACGGCGGGUGCUAACGUCCGUCGUGAAGAGGGAAACAACCCAGACCGCCAGCUAAGGUCCCAAAGUCAUGGUUAAGUGGGAAACGAUGUGGGAAGGCACAGACAGCCAGGAUGUUGGCUUAGAAGCAGCCAUCAUUUAAAGAAAGCGUAAUAGCUCACUGGUCGAGUCGGCCUGCGCGGAAGAUGUAACGGGGCUAAACCAUGCACCGAAGCUGCGGCAGCGACACUAUGUGUUGUUGGGUAGGGGAGCGUUCUGUAAGCCUGCGAAGGUGUGCUGUGAGGCAUGCUGGAGGUAUCAGAAGUGCGAAUGCUGACAUAAGUAACGAUAAAGCGGGUGAAAAGCCCGCUCGCCGGAAGACCAAGGGUUCCUGUCCAACGUUAAUCGGGGCAGGGUGAGUCGACCCCUAAGGCGAGGCCGAAAGGCGUAGUCGAUGGGAAACAGGUUAAUAUUCCUGUACUUGGUGUUACUGCGAAGGGGGGACGGAGAAGGCUAUGUUAGCCGGGCGACGGUUGUCCCGGUUUAAGCAUGUAGGCUGAUUGUCCAGGCAAAUCCGGAUAAUCAAGGCUGAGGUGUGAUGACGAGGCACUACGGUGCUGAAGUAACAAAUGCCCUGCUUCCAGGAAAAGCCUCUAAGCAUCAGGUAACAUUAAAUCGUACCCCAAACCGACACAGGUGGUCAGGUAGAGAAUACCAAGGCGCUUGAGAGAACUCGGGUGAAGGAACUAGGCAAAAUGGUGCCGUAACUUCGGGAGAAGGCACGCUGGUGUGUAGGUGAAGUCCCUGCGGAUGGAGCUGAGACCAGUCGAAGAUACCAGCUGGCUGCAACUGUUUAUUAAAAACACAGCACUGUGCAAACACGAAAGUGGACGUAUACGGUGUGACGCCUGCCCGGUGCCGGAAGGUUAAUUGAUGGGGUUAUCCGUAAGGAGAAGCUCUUGAUCGAAGCCCCGGUAAACGGCGGCCGUAACUAUAACGGUCCUAAGGUAGCGAAAUUCCUUGUCGGGUAAGUUCCGACCUGCACGAAUGGCGUAAUGAUGGCCAGGCUGUCUCCACCCGAGACUCAGUGAAAUUGAACUCGCUGUGAAGAUGCAGUGUACCCGCGGCAAGACGGAAAGACCCCGUGAACCUUUACUAUAGCUUGACACUGAACAUUGAGCCUUGAUGUGUAGGAUAGGUGGGAGGCUUUGAAGCGUGGACGCCAGUCUGCGUGGAGCCAACCUUGAAAUACCACCCUUUAAUGUUUGAUGUUCUAACGUUGGCCCCUGACCGGGGUUGCGGACAGUGUCUGGUGGGUAGUUUGACUGGGGCGGUCUCCUCCCAAAGCGUAACGGAGGAGCACGAAGGUUAGCUAAUCCUGGUCGGACAUCAGGAGGUUAGUGCAAUGGCAUAAGCUAGCUUGACUGCGAGCGUGACGGCGCGAGCAGGUGCGAAAGCAGGUCAUAGUGAUCCGGUGGUUCUGAAUGGAAGGGCCAUCGCUCAACGGAUAAAAGGUACUCCGGGGAUAACAGGCUGAUACCGCCCAAGAGUUCAUAUCGACGGCGGUGUUUGGCACCUCGAUGUCGGCUCAUCACAUCCUGGGGCUGAAGUAGGUCCCAAGGGUAUGGCUGUUCGCCAUUUAAAGUGGUACGCGAGCUGGGUUUAGAACGUCGUGAGACAGUUCGGUCCCUAUCUGCCGUGGGCGCUGGAGAAUUGAGGGGGGCUGCUCCUAGUACGAGAGGACCGGAGUGGACGCAUCACUGGUGUUCGGGUUGUCAUGCCAAUGGCACUGCCCGGUAGCUAAAUGCGGAAGAGAUAAGUGCUGAAAGCAUCUAAGCACGAAACUUGCCCCGAGAUGAGUUCU